AGAUGAGAUUGACCCAUCCCCUUAUUCAUUCACAAGUGCUCUCAAAGCUUUGCAGGCAAGAUCAGGAUAUGGUUAUGGUUGGGAAUACUUGUCACCUGAUGGUUUUGCUCUGAAUUCUAAGUGGAGUGAAGCAGAGAAGUAUAUCUAUAACCCACUUUCAGGAGAGUUUCCAAUGGAAUGUUUGUCUACCAAAACUCUUAAUAGAUUCACAGUUUCC
Molecule: long non-coding RNA, 217 nt
Organism: Telopea speciosissima
Lineage: Eukaryota; Viridiplantae; Streptophyta; Magnoliopsida; Proteales; Proteaceae
Exons: 4
Source: RefSeq, a predicted model, not a curated record